RNAcentral lists this ribosomal RNA (460 nucleotides) under uncultured bacterium. RNAcentral's name for it is "partial 16S ribosomal RNA". It matches the Rfam family "Bacterial small subunit ribosomal RNA", at positions 338 to 795 of the family's 1533-position model. The record is from RNAcentral.
CCUACGGGUGGCAGCAGUGAGGAAUAUUGGUCAAUGGGCGCGAGCCUGAACCAGCCAUGCCGCGUGCAGGAAGACUGCCCUACGGGUUGUAAACUUCUUUUAUACAGGAAUAAAGUGCGGCACGUGUGCCUUUUUGUAUGUACUUUAUGAAUAAGGAUCGGCUAACUCCGUGCCAGCAGCCGCGGUAAUACGGAGGAUCCGAGCGUUAUCCGGAUUUAUUGGGUUUAAAGGGAGCGUAGAUGGGUUGUUAAGUCAGUUGUGAAAGUCUGCGGCUCAACCGUGAAAUUGCAAUUGAUACUGGCAGCCUUGAGUACAGUGGAGGUAGGCGGAAUUCGUGGUGUAGCGGUGAAAUGCUUAGAUAUCACGAAGAACUCCGAUUGCGAAGGCAGCUUACUAAACUGCCACUGACAUUGAUGCUCGAAAGUGUGGGUAUCAAACAGGAUUAGAUACCCUUGUAGUC